RNAcentral lists this unclassified non-coding RNA (226 nucleotides) under soil metagenome. RNAcentral describes it as "partial contains small subunit ribosomal RNA, internal transcribed spacer 1, and 5.8S ribosomal RNA". The record is from RNAcentral.
UUUCCGUAGGUGAACCUGCGGAAGGAUCAUUAAAAAUCCACGUGUGUCUAUUGACACUUGUUGAAAUGUUGAGCGGUGGUGAGAGGAAGGAGGAGGCGCGGGGGGCAACCCGCUCUCUCCCUCUCCCUCUCGCCCCACUCUGCCAUUAUUAUCACUUGUAUUCUCUGUGUUCAGCUUUAUGACACACAAACUUACACAACUUAUAACAAUGGAUCUCUAGGCUCUU